GACGAACGCUGGUGGCGUGCUUAACACAUGCAAGUCGAACGGAAAGGCCCUGCUUUUGUGGGGUGCUCGAGUGGCGAACGGGUGAGUAACACGUGAGUAACCUGCCCUUGACUUUGGGAUAACUUCAGGAAACUGGGGCUAAUACCGGAUAGGAGCUCCUGCUGCAUGGUGGGGGUUGGAAAGUUUCGGCGGUUGGGGAUGGACUCGCGGCUUAUCAGCUUGUUGGUGGGGUAGUGGCUUACCAAGGCUUUGACGGGUAGCCGGCCUGAGAGGGUGACCGGCCACAUUGGGACUGAGAUACGGCCCAGACUCCUACGGGAGGCAGCAGUGGGGAAUAUUGCACAAUGGGCGGAAGCCUGAUGCAGCAACGCCGCGUGCGGGAUGACGGCCUUCGGGUUGUAAACCGCUUUCGCCUGGGACGAAGCGUGAGUGACGGUAAUGGGUAAAGAAGCACCGGCUAACUACGUG
Molecule: ribosomal RNA, 468 nt
Filed under: uncultured bacterium
Lineage: Bacteria
Description: partial 16S ribosomal RNA
Rfam family: Bacterial small subunit ribosomal RNA
Source: RNAcentral